CAAUGGAUAUGCCAGAAUGCUUCUGAUGUGCCCAUUGUCAUGCACACAAAUUUCCCACCUCUGUCAUGGUCCUGGGAGUCUUAAGCAGUGAGAGUGAUGACAUGGCACCACACUUCUUUGAGGAGGGACUGAGGGUGACUGCAGAAAGUUACAUCAAUGUGUUGGAGACAGUUGUGAAGCCUUGGAUGGACAAGGUGGCCGUUGGAAGGCGGUUACGUGUUCCAGCCAUGAGGCAAGGCUUCCAUCGAAUUGAAACUCAGUUACUGAAAAGCUAGACCCAGGCCUAGCUUUUCAGUAACCUGCCCUACCACUGGCCACCUGCUUGUGGUCUCCAUCUAGCCCAGACUGCAACCCUCUUGACUAUUACAUGUGGGGGUGUGGUUGAAGCAAAGAUCAAUAAGAUUUAUCA
This 409-nucleotide long non-coding RNA is filed under the name Androctonus crassicauda. Lineage: Eukaryota; Metazoa; Arthropoda; Arachnida; Scorpiones; Buthidae. The record is from RNAcentral.